AUGGUACUAGAAAUGCAGGGAAAACAUAAAGAAGCUUUAGAAAUUCUUAGCGGUCCUCUAGGUAAGAAACUGGACCCGCACCUGGUGAUCACGACUAAAAGAAUUGAUUUGCUGAUGAAACUAGGACUGUGGCAGGAACUCAACCUUUAUCUUAAAGAACAAUUACUUGAUGAGAUAGAUGCUUGGUCAAAUUACUGUCAUUAUUUUACAUCAGUUUUCCAUUUGUGCUGCGGUCCUGUCCUUGAAACUCAAAUCAAAGAUGGAAAAGAUAAGGAACAAAUCAAAGAAAAUGGCAUGUGUCUUCCAAAUAAGAAAAUUAAUAGUCAGCUAGUUGACUCAAAAUUUGAAACUUUGAAUGAAAACCCUGAUAAUAAGUGUCAAACCUUAAUCAAUGGUGUGAAAAAGUUGAUGAUAACACAAGAAAGUAUAAAAAAUGAGGAACCUUGCGGAGAGGAUUCCUGCCAUUUAAAUGGAGAUUUUGGGAAUGAUUCUUGGCAGAAAAACGAUGAACAAGAGAUUUCUAAUCAAAGGCAUGAAACUGACAGUAAAAUGUCUCAGUUGAUGACACUUUGGGUUCUUGUGUCAGUUUUAUCAAGAUUAAGAGCUGAAAAUGAGAGACUAAAACAUCCCCUCAGAGGUCCCCUCCUUGCACCUUUAGAGCUAUACCGCAGAUUGACUGAAAGAAAAAUUGAUCCAGUCCCCCUUGUUGGCGAUUUAGUGUCUUUACUCAUGACUUAUUUUAAAACAUUCGGCAGUAAGCAAUGUUGCCUCAGUGAUAUUCAAAAUUAUAUAAUUCUCCUAACAAAAAUCAAACAAGUGAUCUACUGCUACAGAUUCAAGAAUUGGUUGGGCUUCAGCAUAAUGAACUACCCUCUGAGGUUUGAACUUUUUCCUAUUUUUUUUUCUCUGGUUAAAUCUAGUUUUCUGGUGUUCUACAAAACUUCAAGUUUACUCAGACCAUGUUUGCUCAACGUAGAGGAAAAGAGAAUUUGAAUGACUGUGACAGGAAUCAGCCUAGUAUAUCAGAGUGUGCCUAUUUUUUCUGUUGUUUCAUUUUUCAAACAGGAAAUUAAACAAAGUUAAAAGAAUUGCCUUCUCCAAUAGGGUGGAUCGAAUUUUUCGACUUUUGAGAGGGGAAACGCGUAUCUUUGAAAAAAGUUGUCAAAUGGGCCCCAUAUGAAGUACCCAAAAUUUCGCCGCAUAAAAUUGACCCCCUAGUACCGUAUGAAGGCCUAAAAGGCCUAAAUUUUUAAUAUAUUAUAUUAAAGGUUCAAACACAUGUUUCCUUAUAG
RNAcentral lists this long non-coding RNA (1292 nucleotides) under Bemisia tabaci. RNAcentral describes it as "lncRNA ENSSWEETPG000439". The record is from RNAcentral. Lineage: Eukaryota; Metazoa; Arthropoda; Insecta; Hemiptera; Aleyrodidae.